CCUACGGGUGGCAGCAGUGGGGAAUAUUGCGCAAUGGGCGAAAGCCUGACGCAGCGACGCCGCGUGAGGGAUGAAGGUCUUCGGAUCGUAAACCUCUGUCGGCAGGGAAGAACGGUCACUGUGCUAAUCAGCAGUGAAUUGACGGUACCUGCAAAGGAAGCACCGGCUAACUCCGUGCCAGCAGCCGCGGUAAUACGGAGGGUGCGAGCGUUAAUCGUAAUUACUGGGCGUAAAGCGAUCGUAGGCGGGAUGUCAAGUCAGAUGUGAAAUCACCGCGCUCAACGUGGGAACUGCCUUUGAAACUGGCAAACUGGAGUGUGUGAGAGGAUGGUAGAAUUCCAGGUGUAGGAGUGAAAUCCGUAGAUAUCUGGAGGAACACCGGUGGCGAAGGCGACUAUCUGGCACAUAACUGACGCUGAGGAGCGAAAGCGUGGGUAGCAAACAGGAUUAGAUACCCUUGUAGUC
RNAcentral lists this ribosomal RNA (465 nucleotides) under uncultured bacterium. Its description in RNAcentral is "partial 16S ribosomal RNA". It matches the Rfam family "Bacterial small subunit ribosomal RNA", at positions 338 to 795 of the family's 1533-position model. The record is from RNAcentral.